AAAAAUCAGGGGAAAAAGGUGCAGUUAAAGGUACUAAUGUAAUAGGGGUCAUAGUGAUAUAGGAGCAAUGACAUGAACUUAAAUAUUAUAAGAUAAUAUUUUCAGUGUCAGAAUUUUAUGUAAUACAAUAAAUAAUAAUAAUUAAUGUGAUAUCUUAAUUGAUUAUGAAAUUUUCUCUGGCUUACUUGUCUGCAAAUUCACCAAUAUUUACCCUGUCAUUUUAUUUUCAUUUUCAGUAGAUGAGAAAUUCACUUCAUGCAGUUUCUUUUUCACUAGAUAGGAGUGAAAGCAACAUGAGUCACUCUUGGCAAAUGCAAGAUCUCAAACAGAUUUUGAUCAUUUUCAUUUUGGAGAAGAUCUCUCUGUUGAUGCAACUAUUAAGAAUGUUUUAUAGGCUGUGACAAUGCUAAGAUAACUUUCUAAUAAAUUAUUUUGAAAUAUAA
This is a long non-coding RNA of Herpailurus yagouaroundi (jaguarundi), 443 nucleotides long. RefSeq lists it as uncharacterized. The transcript is spliced from 2 exons. NCBI's taxonomy places the organism in Eukaryota, Metazoa, Chordata, Mammalia, Carnivora, Felidae. The record is from RefSeq and is a predicted model, not a curated record.